RNA transcript from Solanum pennellii, 1513 nucleotides. It is a transcript of the gene named 13S globulin seed storage protein 2-like, with no coding region annotated. The record is from RefSeq and is a predicted model, not a curated record. NCBI's taxonomy places the organism in Eukaryota, Viridiplantae, Streptophyta, Magnoliopsida, Solanales, Solanaceae. The transcript has 4 exons.
UGAAUAAUUGAUUGACUCAUUACUUCCAAGCCCUAAUACAUGCAGCCUAUAUUAUAUAAAUAGAAGGAUACAGCUGAAGAAUGUAAGAGCAUAGAAUAAUAAUAUUUACCUACAAUAAAUAUAUCGAUGGAUUUAAUAUUGUCAUCGAAAAAGGCCGAUGAAGCAAUAGUGGAAGUUGAAGGAGUUGGUGGAUACUACACAUGGUCAAGUAGCCAAUUUCCCGUUCUAAGCCAGAAAAAGGUAGCUGCUGGAUUAUUACUUCUUCAGCCUCGUGGCUUUGCUCAACCUCACUAUGCCGAUUCCUCUAAAAUUGCUUAUGUUUGUGAAGGUGAAUGCAUUGCUGGACUGAUCUCACCAGAAGAUUCAAAAGAAGAAGUUGUAAAAAUACAAAAAGGGGAUACCCUACCAGUUAAAGUGGGAACAGUGUCAUGGUGGUACAAUGGUUGCGACUCUGAACUCAAAAUAAUUUUCUUGGGACAAUCAUCUGAGGACUAUACACCAGGGGAAUUCUGUUAUUUCUUAUUAACUGGAGCUGCUGGUAUGCUAAACGGAUUCCCUAAUGAAUCAAUUGCUAAAUCUUUUCACAUGACCGAAACUGAAUCUGAAAAACUCAUGAAAGAUCAAAGUAGUUUAAAUCGUAAAUGAAGGUAUACAAAUUCCAAAUGCAUCCGGCAGUGCGAAACGCAAGUUGGUUUACAACUUGGAUGAUGCAAAACCUUGUGUUGAGGUUAAAAACGGUGGAGUUUUAUCUUUGGUAAGUAGUAUGAAUAUAGCGUUGCUUGGAGAGAUUGGAUUCAGCGCGAAUCGCGUAGUUUUGGAACGUGGUGCUGUACUUGGUCCAGUUUUUACAGCAGAUUCGUCCGUUCAAUUGAGUUAUGUUACAAAAGGAAGUGGACGUGUUGUAAUUGUGGGAGUGUUUGGUAAGGUUGUGUUGGAUGCUAAAGUGGAAGAAGGUGAAAUGUUUUUUGUACCAAAAUUCUUUCCAUUUGUUGUGGAAGCUGAUGAAGGAGGAAUGGAAUUCUUCUCCUUGAAAACAUCGUCAAAGCAAGUAUAUGGAGAAUUAUCAGGUGGGAAAAACUCAAUUUGGGAAGCAGCGUCUCCAUCAAUUUUAGAGGCCUCUCUAAAUACGACUCCAGAUUUGACAAAGUAUUUCAAGUCCAAGAUUGCUAAGGGUUCACUGAUUGCCCCACCUUCAAAUGGUUAAGUAAUUAAUUACUUAUUUGAAAUAAGAUUGAUCGAUGAUCAAUAGGAUUAUAUGGGAGCUUUUGACGUUAAGCUUAUAUGAUGUUGUGUUUCAAUUAUAUAUGUAUGCCUUUUUUAAUUCAGAAUAAAAAGAAAAUGAAUUUGGUCUGUAAACGAGGCAGUAUAAAGGCAUACUGUACCUCAGAAACAGUGGCGGAGCCACCUUGUUCUCAGGUCCAUCCAAACUCCCUUCGUUGGAAUAUUAGUAUUAUUUAUACGUGGUUAAAAUAAUUUUUUAGAUAUAUAUAGUAGAUGUUGAGCCUCCUUUAUU